RNAcentral lists this ribosomal RNA (484 nucleotides) under uncultured bacterium. RNAcentral describes it as "partial 16S ribosomal RNA". It matches the Rfam family "Bacterial small subunit ribosomal RNA", at positions 29 to 507 of the family's 1533-position model. The record is from RNAcentral.
AUUGAACGCUGGCGGCAUGCUUUACACAUGCAAGUCGAACGGCAGCGCGGGCUUCGGCCUGGCGGCGAGUGGCGAACGGGUGAGUAAUACAUCGGAACGUGCCCAGUAGUGGGGGAUAGCUCGGCGAAAGCCGGAUUAAUACCGCAUACGACCUGAGUGUGAAAGCGGGGGAUCUUCGGACCUCGCGCUAUUGGAGCGGCCGAUGGCAGAUUAGCUAGUUGGUGGGGUAAAGGCCUACCAAGGCGACGAUCGGUAGCUGGUCUGAGAGGACGACCAGCCACACUGGGACUGAGACACGGCCCAGACUCCUACGGGAGGCAGCAGUGGGGAAUUUUGGACAAUGGGCGAAAGCCUGAUCCAGCAAUGCCGCGUGUGUGAUGAAGGCCUUCGGGUUGUAAAGCACUUUUGGCGGGAACGAAAAGGACUGUGCCAAUACCACGGUUCGAUGACGGUACCCGCAGAAUAAGCACCGGCUAACUACGUG